This 484-nucleotide ribosomal RNA is filed under the name uncultured bacterium. RNAcentral describes it as "partial 16S ribosomal RNA". It matches the Rfam family "Bacterial small subunit ribosomal RNA", at positions 30 to 507 of the family's 1533-position model. The record is from RNAcentral.
AUUGAACGCUGGCGGCAGGCCUAACACAUGCAAGUCGAGCGGAUGAAGGGAGCUUGCUCCUGGAUUCAGCGGCGGACGGGUGAGUGAUGCCUAGGAAUCUGCCUGGUCGUGGGGGAGAACGUCCGGAAACGGGCGCUAAUACCGCAUACGUCCUGAUGGAGAAAGUGGGGGGUCUUCGGACCUCACGCUAUCAGAUGAGCCUAGGUCGGAUUAGCUAGUUGGUGGGGUAAAGGCCUACCAAGGCGACGAUCCGUAACUGGUCUGAGAGGAUGAUCAGUCACACUGGAACUGUGACACGGUCCUGACUCCUACGGGAGGCCGCAGGGGGGAAUAUUGGACAAUGGGCGAAAGCCUGAUCCCGCGAUGCCGCGUGUGUGCAGAAGGUCUUCGGAUUGUAAAGCACUUUAAGUUGGGAGGAAGGGCAGUAAGUUAAUACCUUGCUGUUUUGACGUUACCAACAGAAUAAGCACCGGCUAACUUCGUG